Molecule: long non-coding RNA, 318 nt
Filed under: Struthio camelus australis
Lineage: Eukaryota; Metazoa; Chordata; Aves; Struthioniformes; Struthionidae
Description: lncRNA (ENSSCUG00000002749.1)
Source: RNAcentral
UGAAAGGAGAGGGGGUCUUUCCCAGGAUCUGCAUGGAUCUGCCAAGAAACAUCAAAGGAAAUAAAAAAUAUGAGAAGCUCCUCAAGGAGGCAAAAGAAAAAUUGGAAAAAGACAAUCGGAGAGAGGAAGCAGUCCUUCUGGGGGAGGCCACGGCUGUGGAGCCGCACACAGAUGACUCAGACUCCAUGUUUAACACAUGGCUGCUGAUGGAAAUGGAGCGGGCGCUCAUAGAGGAACAUGCCCUGAAGGUGCAGAAAGCUUUUACCUCCUGUCCCACAGAGGAUCCUGCCUUUGGCCAACGUGCUCGUCAGAGGCUCG